GGAAGAAACUAAAAGACUUAUUAGCUAGCUGAUAUACCCAAACGAAGAAAGCUGAUACCAAAGGGGUUUUCGUCUUCUGCAUCUUCCUCCUCUCAAUCUCUCUCAACCAAAGGGGUUUUCUCCCACUCCUAUAAAACAUUAUCCAUCCAAUUCCAUCAAAUCUCUUGAAUCUAUCCUUAAAUCGCAAAUGUAAACUGAUACCUACCCAAAGCCCUAAUCAGAAAUUAUAUUCUCAAAUUAGGUAUGUGUUUGAAUCAUAAAAAUAAUUCUGGGUUUUUCUGAUUUGAGCUUUCGAUUUCGGAGAAAGGUAAGUUUUUUACUUAAUUUUCUUUUGUUUAUGAUUUUUGGGGUUUUGAUUUAAGGUGAUUUGAUAGCUGGUAUUUUUUACGCGAUUCUUUGGACGCGAAAGAGCAGUUUUCAACUGAUUCUUUUGUUCUUUACGCGAUUCUUUGUUCUUUACACGAUUUUGUUUUUUCCCUUUUUGUUUAUUUGGUUGGUUUAUUUAUUGUCUUUUUUUUACUGUGCUUGUUUAUUUGGUUGGUUUAUUUUUAUUUUGAUUUUUAAGUAUGAUUAAUUUGAUUUUUGAUCCACAAUUGAAUCUCCAAAUGCAAAAACUGCUUUUACAACUACGUUUUUAAGUACAUGCAGCUAGCGAGAAUGAUUAUUUCUUCUAUUUCACCUUUAAUUUCUCUGACCCAUUUGAAAAUAUACAGGAAUCAGAAGUAAUUUUUCUUGAAUAGCCAUCGCCUGAAGCCCUUUCUGAGUGUCGACUGCUCUUUCGCUGGGUAAGUUGAAAACUUCUUUAGUUUCUCAUUUUAAACAAUAGGGAUUUGAGACCUCACAUUGAUUGGAAAGAUGGUCAAUGGUUUACUAAUGCUCGGGUAUGGUCCCUUUGAAUUCCUUUGGUUUUCAGGUCCUGUUGUUGCUUUUAUUAAAUCAGUCUACUAUUAUAUUCUUUCUUUCCGAGUGGUCAUAAUGGCGGGUAGUAGUUCUAUUGGUAGCUUGUAUAAUCCAUCUACUGUUGUAAGUUGUAAAUAGCAAUGCACCAGUUUAAUGUUGCAGCUGCCGCCUCCCCCCUUCCCCAAGUAACAAACCAAGCCAAUGUGAGUGAAAUCUGUUUAUUUAAGUUGAAACAUGAAAGCAGUGAAUGCAUCUCUAUUGAUGUUAUCUUCAUGCUCUAACAAUGUGAUCUUAUAUUUUUUUCUUCGGAAAAGGUCCAAAAAUAUCCUUGAACUAUUCAAAAUAGCUCAAAAAUAUCCUCCGUUUGUUUUUGGUGCCAAAAAUAUCCCUAGUCUAUGUUUUGGCCCAAAAAUGCCCCUAAACCGUUAGUUUUGCCACUAAAGCUGACAUUAGUCCAACUAGAUUAGAAUUGCUUACGUGCAACCCCAUUCUUUAGCUCCCAAAAAAUAAAUUAACACACAACGUUUACAAGAAAAAAAUUAAAACUUUAUUUGUACAACAAUAAAGACACUGGUUUCUUAAUCCUAAACAAGUUGGGGUCGGUUAUAUGAAUUCUCGAUAUCUAUAAUCAUGAGAACAAUGGAGUUUUUUAAUCAAAUCAUAAACCCGAAUCAAGAAUAAUUUUUUCAUAAAUUUUUUACUUUUUUCGGAAUAAGUAUUGAUUUUGUAUUUUAAUUAAAAAAUUCCAAAAUAAAUAUUUUUUUUUUCGAAUUUUUUUACUUUUUCAGAAUAAAUGUUGAUUUUGUAUUUUAUUAAAAAAUUCUGGAAAAAUAAAAUUUCCGAAAAAAUUAUUUUCACAUAUGGAUUGCUUAGGUGAACGACCACGUAAGCAAUUCUAACCUAGUUGGACUGCCAUGUCAGCUUUAGUGGCAAAACCAACGGUUUAGGGGCAUUUUUGGGCCAAAACAUAGUCGGCAGGGAUAUUUUUGGCAUCAAAAACAAACGGAGGAUAUUUUUGGACCUUUUCCGUUUUUUCUUUAAUAAUAGGGACAAGGUUCUUAAACAGUGGGAACAAUGAAGGAGAAGCUUGAAGCUAAGGCACUCAAUGUUUUGCUUUUUGGUUAUAUGUAAAUGUGUACAAUGACAAUGAAGUAUUAUGUAGUAUAUAUGUGGAGGAACUUGAAGCUAAGGCACUCAAUAUUUUGCUUUUUGGUUAUAUGUAUAUGCGUACAAUGAAAUGGAAGUAUUUACUAUUUGGUUUAAGAAAUUUUUUUGGUGUUUAUUAAAUACUAUUGGAUGAUCUUAUAUAUUAAUAUUAAUAUAUAAGUUUCAG
RNAcentral lists this long non-coding RNA (2233 nucleotides) under Nicotiana tabacum (common tobacco). RNAcentral describes it as "long non-coding RNA (NTAB_LNC002136)". Lineage: Eukaryota; Viridiplantae; Streptophyta; Magnoliopsida; Solanales; Solanaceae. The record is from RNAcentral.